RNAcentral lists this unclassified non-coding RNA (346 nucleotides) under soil metagenome. RNAcentral describes it as "partial contains 5.8S ribosomal RNA, internal transcribed spacer 2, and large subunit ribosomal RNA". The stretch from base 1 to 120 matches the Rfam family "5.8S ribosomal RNA", at positions 35 to 154 of the family's 154-position model. The record is from RNAcentral.
GAUGAAGAACGUAGCGAAAUGCGAUAAUUAAUGUGAAUUGCAGAAUUCAGUGAAUCAUCGAGUCUUUGAACGCACAUUGCGCCCCCUGGUAUUCCGGGGGGCAUGCCUGUCCGAGCGUCAUUGCUGCCCUCAAGCCCGGCUUGUGUGUUGGGCCUCGUCCCCCCUCCGGGGGACGGGCCCGAAAGGCAGCGGCGGCACCGUGUCCGGUCCUCGAGCGUAUGGGGCUUUGUCACCCGCUCUGUAGGCCCGGCCGGCGCCUUAGCCGACGACACAAUCUUUUUUUUCAGGUUGACCUCGGAUCAGGUAGGGAUACCCGCUGAACUUAAGCAUAUCAAUAAGCGGAGGA